UUUUCAUUUGAUUGGUGUGGUAGUGCUGGCUUAGCCUAGGGAUUUUGGUCUAUGUUAAGGUGCUUAUCAUCUUGUAACUUGUAACAACUAUGGGAUGGUGCGGCUGAUUCUUUUUGGUAUUCUGCUAGGCUCACUUACAUAGAGUGCCAUUUGGUUAUGGCCGAUGCUGUUACUUCACCUCCAGUUUCUUUUAACAUGUCUUUUUAUCUGGAGGGAGCUGUUACUUAUUGGAACUUUUGUGCUGAACAGUGUGCUCAUGGUGUAUUUAUAUAGGAAGUGUUCGAAGAUGGAGGAGGUCCAUGUCAUUCUUGAAACUUUUGAGUGUUUUGGGGUUGUCAUGAAGUUUUACUGGGGAUCUUCCUUUUAGUUCUGGGUUAACUGGCUGUAUCUGACUUGAUCUAUUUCUGGCUUGCUGUUUAUAUAGGUUCAGUUGCCAAUCUUGGUGGUAGGCUAACUUUAGCGAGGGAUUAAGUGCAAUGUUCUGGUGCCGACUGCUGUGCUGGAGUAGCAUUGGCAUGAUAUGUAUCACACCAUGCUCAGCACAUAUUGACAUAUAUUGGCUGGCACUUUGGAAAAUUAUUAGCUCAUUUGUCCCACUUCUCUCCUUUGUCGUUUUUCAUGCAUAUAUUCUCAUUCUUGUUUGUCUUUUAACUCUCCCAACUUCCUUUCAUCCUUCCAUUUCUCUCUCCAAAAAGCUUAGUGCCUACUUAAAUAUUCCUUCUUUCCUCCAUUUAUCCAGGUGCCUUUCUGUUAACUUGUGCAUGAAUUCAUUAAAACCUUUGUCUUUGCCCUUGUCAGCUGCUUCUUAGAUUCAGAUAACAUUGAUGUAGUAUUAGAUCAUGUUUUGAUCACCUACGAAGAAAUUGAUUUUCAGAAUAAAAGGAUUGACACUACAAGGUGGUCAUGAAGAUCCACUGCUUGUGCAAAGUGUUCUAGAAUCACGGCACUGAGCGAUAAAUUCUGUAGUUAGCUUUAAGAAUGUCAGAUUGAAAAUUGAAGCGGAAACUUGAAGCACUUGAAAAAUGAAAGUUGAAGGAAGAUUCACUCUUCCCCUUUUGGAAAAGGAAAUGCUAAAUGCUCCAUUAAUAUAUAUAUUUAUGUAUAUAUAUUAAUUUGUACAUUAUCAGUAACAGAGGGAAGAUUAAAUCUUUCAGAGAACAUUACUGAUUUAAGGGCUAGUUCUGCAGCUUGGUAUUUUCUCGGUUUCAAGUAAAUUUGCCUUAUUUUAUGGAUGGUAUUCUCGGUAUCGUUCUAACAUACUCCCUUUCUCACGAAGCAAAAACAGAUUCUUUGGUGGCAGUGGCACUUCCAGAAACCGGAUUCCCAUCCUUUUGAAAAUUGUUAUUGGAUAUCUAUUUCGUAAAUUCUUUUAGUAUGAUAUUUCUGGAGUGAUUUACUAUCUUUAAUCUAGUUUAAAUAUGAUACAAGUUUCCCAGUACUAGAAAGCAUUGAGACAUACAAAACUAAGAGAUACUAUACGAGAAGGUUAGAGAGCAAGCUGGAAGUGCUGGAGUACAUUCUCUAUAUUUAACAUCAAUGAUAGGAUUUGAAGAGGAACCUGCUUGAAGUGUUAGUGUUUUUUCCUCCAAAGCAAUCUCGUCGUAAGGGGUUCGAAUGUCAUCUUAAAAAUUUUUAGCAUUGCAGCUGACUAGCUUCCUGAAGUGGUUAUUUUGUUGUACAAAAGCAUAUAAGAAAAUCUGAAAGUUGUUCUCUUAUUCAUGGUGUAACACUUGUACUUUAUUCAGUUUUAAAUAUUUCUGAGUGCUAUAUGAAUGUUCCCAAAUUAAACAAAAGAGUAAAAUGUCAGGUCUCCUGUGCUAAAUUGGGUGUUGAAGAAGCCAAUAGCAAUGUUAAGUAGGAGCAAAUAUUUGUUAUGCGGAAGGCAGACUAGGCAAAAAUGAGUUUGAUUACUUGUCUGACUUACGAUGUAUUUUUCUGUCCACUUGAUGAAUCUUCUGAAGAGAUUUUUCUGCAUGAGAACCUCUAAUCCUUCAACUAUUCACCCUAUCCUGGGAAAUACUUCUCCAAAAUGUGCUUCAAUUUGACUGCUGGGAACUUUGUGACAGAGUUCUAGCAGGAUGGUUUUUCUGCUGUAUGCUGAUGAGACAUUGCUUUUUGAUGUGGCAAUAUGUCUUGGCAGAUGGUUAAUCUGCAAUACUAUGAUGGAUGUUUUCGAUGGAUCAUGUCGGCAAGCUGAGUUCUUCUCGGGAAAAUUGCUGGGAAGUCCCUACUCUUUCUUUCUUUUUUUUCUUUUUUGCUAAGGAAAAGGGAAAAGGGGGAGGAAGGGACAAGCCCACCCCCGCAUAGCAGUCCUCAUUGAGCCCUUCCCGCCAGAAGAAUGUUCAAUGCAGGCAGAAAUGACCGUAUAUUGGGCACCCCGGCCAGUUUUACUCAUACCCUUCCCACCCAUGGGCCUGGCUCGAUUAUCUCUGGGCUCCGGCACGAAUCCUUCGUAUGAGUACGUCACAUCCGGUACCACCGAGGCUACCAGCAAACCAAUAUGUCCUUUCAGACCCUGUGUCCGAGCAGGAAGCAUCCGGUCUCUACAAUUUAAUCGACGCCUGCGCGUUUCGAACUCGGAACCACUUGGUUGGAAGUAAGGCUAUGGUACCACUGAGCUACCACCUUAGUGGCUUCCUACUCUUUCUUUGCCCACAUUCUGUCUACACUGCUUUUACCCUCCGAAGAUAGGUUGCUAUAGAAAACUCCGUGCCACUAGCUAUGUACAAUCUACAGUUAUUUUCUUUCAUUUUUUUUUCUAAUAAAAAAAAAUCUUUUCUUUUCUAGUCUGCACUCUGCAGUCUGUUCAUGACCGUCAGCUUGCUUUUCUUUAGUUAGCAUAUAUCCUGGAUCACAUUGUCUAACAUUAGCUGAGAGUCCAAAUUGAAUUCUGGAGGAUUGGGACAAUAUUUUGAUUUUCUAACCGCUGGAAUAAGAAUCACUCAUUUCCAUGCUCACUUCAAAGACUAGCUUCCUCAAGCUAAAUAUACCCUAAGAAUGGGGGCAAUAUUUUGAUUUCCUAAGGAUAUGGAAUGAAAAUGAAACUCUCUCCAAUCAAAUAAUUGGAAUAAGAGCCAUUCAUUUCCAUUCUCAUUCCAGAAUCCGGCUUCCGCGAACUAAACAUACCCUAAGGAUUGGGGUAAUAUUUUGAUUUCCUGCAGAAUUGGAAUAGAAAUGAAACUCUCUCCAACCAAACAAUUGGAAUGAGAGCCACUCAUUUCCAUUUUCAUUCCAGAGUCUAGCUUCCUCAAACUAAAGAUGCCCCAAGGAUAGCCUUGUUGCCUCGACGGUGAGAUGAUAGACAGGGCACCAGGAGACGGAUUUUGGGAGGACCCAACCAAGCCCAAAAUAAGAGGUCCGCUGCCAAGAGGCCCAUCCAUCCUAGCCCACCGCCCCUCCACAAUAUCUGAUUCGAACAAAGUCAAACAUAUCCACGCAAGAACUGAGCCAGCGUGCGGCUUGAAGGCUCUCUCUCUCUCUCUCUCUNNNNNNNNNNNNNNNNNNNNUCUCUCUCUCUCUCUCUCUCUCUCUCUCUCUGCCUCUCCUUGUCCCUCUCGAAAUCAAUAAAAAAAGAAAAGAGGUCCAAAACUGUACUUCUAGACCCGGUCUUUGAACUUGGCUCGGAUGCAGAUGAAUGGAAGCAGCGAUCUACGGCAGCUUUCUAACAUUCAUGACGACUGUUUUUGUACUUAUAGAUAUAUAUUAAACGGUAAAUUACUUUUUCAUCUCUCUAAAGACCCUACUGUAACACGAGGUAGCAUGAGAGCCGGGCGGCGCAUAUGGAGCUUGGACGAUCAGAAAUGUUUUUAUCUUUUAUGCUUUAAUCAAAAACUUAAUUAUAUAAAUUAAUUAAAAAAAGGUGGUAAGAGGAGUACUGGUGCAGUUGAUUUCCCGAUCAGAAUGGAGUUACAUGAACUCGGUAGGUUUUUUCGGGUACCCCGAUGCAUUAUUCAUUAAAAAAAUAGACAUAUCAUCCUAGUGUAAAUAUAGCUGCAGGCAGCAGUAUAAAUGAUAUCCUGGAAUUCCAGAGGGAUCGCAAAAAUGAAGUUCUGCACCACAUAGCUGGCACGAAAGAAAAAUUUACCUUCCUUCCUACAAAUCCACAUUGGAGCAUCGAGCAUACAGAUGUUGUUGUGGUUCAAAUCUGGCCCGAGGGUGACCACACCGAUGGAGCCGAAGGAGCCGCCGGUGCUGGAAAGNNNNNNNNNNNNNNNNNNNNNNNNNNNNNNNNNNNNNNNNNNNNNNNNNNNNNNNNNNNNNNNNNNNNNNNNNNNNNNNNNNNNNNNNNNNNNNNNNNNNNNNNNNNNNNNNNNNNNNNNNNNNNNNNNNNNNNNNNNNNNNNNNNNNNNNNNNNNNNNNNNNNNNNNNNNNNNNNNNNNNNNNNNNNNNNNNNNNNNNNNNNNNNNNNNNNNNNNNNNNNNNNNNNNNNNNNNNNNNNNNNNNNNNNNNNNNNNNNNNNNNNNNNNNNNNNNNNNNNNNNNNNNNNNNNNNNNNNNNNNNNNNNNNNNNNNNNNNNNNNNNNNNNNNNNNNNNNNNNNNNNNNNNNNNNNNNNNNNNNNNNNNNNNNNNNNNNNNNNNNNNNNNNNNNNNNNNNNNNNNNNNNNNNNNNNNNNNNNNNNNNNNNNNNNNNNNNNNNNNNNNNNNNNNNNNNNNNNNNNNNNNNNNNNNNNNNNNNNNNNNNNNNNNNNNNNNNNNNNNNNNNNNNNNNNNNNNNNNNNNNNNNNNNNNNNNNNNNNNNNNNNNNNNNNNNNNNNNNNNNNNNNNNNNNNNNNNNNNNNNNNNNNNNNNNNNNNNNNNNNNNNNNNNNNNNNNNNNNNNNNNNNNNNNNNNNNNNNNNNNNNNNNNNNNNNNNNNNNNNNNNNNNNNNNNNNNNNNNNNNNNNNNNNNNNNNNNNNNNNNNNNNNNNNNNNNNNNNNNNNNNNNNNNNNNNNNNNNNNNNNNNNNNNNNNNNNNNNNNNNNNNNNNNNNNNNNNNNNNNNNNNNNNNNNNNNNNNNNNNNNNNNNNNNNNNNNNNNNNNNNNNNNNNNNNNNNNNNNNNNNNNNNNNNNNNNNNNNNNNNNNNNNNNNNNNNNNNNNNNNNNNNNNNNNNNNNNNNNNNNNNNNNNNNNNNNNNNNNNNNNNNNNNNNNNNNNNNNNNNNNNNNNNNNNNNNNNNNNNNNNNNNNNNNNNNNNNNNNNNNNNNNNNNNNNNAUAUAUAUAUAUAUAUAUAUAUAUAUAUAUAUAUAUAUAUGAUUCACAAAAAAAAAAAUGAGGGCAAGAACCCUCAAGAAAUUAAAAUAGUAGGGUCAUGGCUCUAGAUCUAUGUGGGAUUUCCGUUCCUUUUCAUUUUAAAAAAAUUAAAAUUUUAUUUAUCUUCUUCCAAUUUAAUUAUUUGAUAUUAUUUUUGCCGAUCUUAAAAUUUUGCUAAUUGCAUUCAAUUGAAAUUAGGCGGUCAAACUUUUUUUUGAAAGGCUAGGUGGAAGAGAAAGGACUACUACAUUUCACUUAGCGAGAGAACUUCAUUCAUCAGCAUCUUGUUGGCUAACAUCCAAUACGUAUAACCAUAAUGUUUUUUGGAUUAUGUGGUUCUAUAUGAUCAAACACUUAACCACCCAUUUUAAUAUUUAGCUUUCAUUAGUGCUAUAGGCACGUGGAAUUAUUGUCUAAUUAGAGAAGAAAUGGCAGGAAAAAUUGACAAAUUCGCCUGCAUUUUCUAAGUGGCUCAAAAAAUCAGCUUCUUUUUUUGUCUUAUAUGCAGAAAUAUUAGACAAUCAUGCAAGAUAAAUCAAAAGCCAAACUCGAGAAACCAGCACUGUUGAAAAUUCUCAAAAUAUGCCAAAAAAAAAUCUCAGAGUAAUAACAGUCGGAAGAGGUGGCCCAUAGACUGUCCCAUGAGUCAUGAUGUCAUCAUAACCAAGAUAUUUUAGUGUUACAUAUGAUUUUAUUAUGGGAGCUAGUGACAACCGUAAUAAGCUUUUAAUUUCAUUCCUUAUGAUCUCCAAGAUAUCAAAUAAAUUCAUCUACAUAUAGACUGCAAAUUAUAGACCGAAUAGUGUUGUAUAGAUGGAUUUCUACACCUACCUAUGAUAUUACUUGGAAAAAAAGUAGUAGAAGAAGAAAAAACUCUUUUCAUUUUAAUAUUAAAGAGUUUUUCAUAAAUAACGCUUCAGGGUGCUCAUUGUAGUCAGAAAAUCCACCAGACCCACAAUGACUAACUUGAUAACUCUACAAUUAACUGUCUUCAAAGCUUUCAAACUUUCAAGAGAUAAUGGAAGCCAAAGCAACGAACAGUAGAAGUUUCCGUUUUGCACUCUCUUUUCCGUCCUUCAUAGAUCCAAUUCUCUUAGACUGACCCAUAAGAAUCAACCGCUCUAAUGCUCUAUAUAUAUCCUCCCCUCCCACACGGCCUACUCUGCAUCCUUGAACCCAACAGCAUCAUUUCCAUUGUCUCUCUAUUCUUCCUUGGAGCUCAGGCAUCCCAUGGGUGAAGGCCCUCUCCACAUUGUUCUCUUCCCAUGGUUGGCCUUUGGCCACUUGAUACCAUUCCUCGAGCUCUCCAAGUCCCUGGCAAAAAGAGGUCACCACAUCUUCUUCAUUUCCACCCCAAGAAACAUCCAUAGGCUCCCAAACAUCCCUCUCCCUCUACUCCCUCUCAUAGAUUUCAUCUCCAUCCCCUUGCCGCCAUCCGAUGACCUACCUGAUCAUGAUGCUGAGGCCACCGCCGAUCUCCCCCCGCAUAAAGUUCCACACCUGAAGAAGGCAUUCGAUAAGCUCGACCAACCAGUUGCCGAGUUUCUCGAGCAAGCAUCUCCAAAACCCGACUGGAUCAUCUGCGACUUUGCUCCGUACUGGCUGCCGCCGAUCGCCUCGAAGCUGAACACCCCAUGCGCCUACUUCAACACGUUCCCAUCUUUCUCCAGUGCCUUCUCCGCCGCAUGGCAGAGGUCGCCAGAGCAACUCACCGCGACACCCGAAUGGAUCCCCUUCCCGACGAAGGUGGCCUAUCGUCUCCACGAGGCCCGCUCCUUCGCUAAGUUGGUGCACGACAGCGCCUCAGGGGUGUCGGAUGAGUAUCGCUUCAACUCGGUCGUCAGAUGUUGCGACCUGAUGGCCGUGCGAGGUUGCAUGGAGUUUGAUGGUGAAUGGCUGAACGUCCUUCCGGAGCUUUACGAGAAACCGAUCGUUCCGCUCGGCCUCCUUCCUCCGUCGGCUGAUGACAGACCUGAUGGCGAAAACACAAACGGAAUGGCAAACACCGGCCAUGGGAACGUCGUUAAGUGGCUGAACAAGCAGACUCCCGAGUCCGUCGUGUACGUUUCCUUAGGGAGUGAGGCGACGCUAAGCAACGAGCUCGUGCACGAGCUGGCCUUUGGGCUGGAACUCUCCGGCCUGCCCUUCCUCUGGGCUCUCAGGAGGAAGCGAGAAGAGGUAGAGUUGCUGCCGAAGGGAUUCGAGGACCGGAUCGCAGGCCGCGGGGUCAUUGCCAUGGGUUGGAUGCCUCAGCUGGAGAUCCUGGCAUGUUCGUCGGUCGGGGGUUUCUUCACACACUGCGGCUGGAGCUCCGUCGUCGAAGGCCUUGCGUUCGGGCAUCCACUCAUCCUCCUGCCCGUUUUCGGCGAUCAGGGGAUCAACGCUCGGGUGAUGGUGGAGAAGAAGCUUGGGUUGGAGGUGGAGAGGGAUGAGGAAACUGGUUCCUUUACGAGGGAAGCAGUGGCUAACGUGGUGAGGUCAGUGAUGGUGGAAGACGAGGGAAAGAAGCUCAGAGAAACAGCUAAACGAAUGAGGGAGGUCUUCAGCAACAAUGACAUCCAUGGCCGGUACGUGGAUGCUUUUGUUCAUUACCUGAGAGAUCAUGUGCGAUGCAGAUCAUUGACAGUGUAAUCAAUGGGUCCAUCCUUCGCCAUAGCCGUCUAAGGAUGUCCAGGCCUUUCCUCCGAGUUUCUGUGUAAGACUAGUAGUACUGGAUGCAUGUAAUAAAUAAAGGUUUCAUCAAAAGUUCAAGGUUAUUAUUAUGUUGGUCACUAGAAAAUGUAUUCUUGGUACUCCUAUUAGUGCAAUUUACUCAGAAACUUCAUGUUCCUAUGCAGAUAUUCAUUUCUCUAGUUUUAGUAUUCUACAAAGUCGAGCUAUAUGUGAUAAAACAAAGAGAAUGAACAUCAAGUGCCUCUUAAAUUAGAUCCCACAUCAUAGCCUGAAUAUUAAGUGAUACAUGAUAGUGUUUGCUGCCUGAAGGCAGGUUUAACAUACAAAAACAGGAUUACCCUUUCUUUUAUAUAUAAACAAAACAUUACAUGGAAUGAAUAAAUAAUAUAUAUGUGUUUCCCUACAAAAAAAAAAAAAGAGUACCCAGAAUUGGCACAAGUUGGGUUCCUCGAUGAAUUAUCAUAGCAUUUUGGCCUCGAAAACACGCCAACCAACCCUUCACAAAUCGUGCUAGAGAAAUCCGUUCUGUAGGUGCGUUAUGGAUAGGGAGAGAGCAGUGUUCUUAUCCCAUUUUCGAGGGCGGUGUUUAUUUUGUCCAGAUCCUGAACGGGCAGAGGAUCCGUGCUCUUCCUUCAAAUCCCAAAGAAGUAGUCCAUUCGUGCGGCUUCGUCCUUGUUUUAUAUGUUUGUCUUGAUCUUAGUCCCUUCAAACUUCAGCUACGUCUCCCUUCGUCCUUUUCUGACGGAGAUGGCGAUUCAACUUCCCACCGAAAAAAAAAACAGAAGCUUUGAACUGACGGAUUGGGUGGCGACCCAAUAUAUCCCCUGGCUAUAUCCCAACGAACAAAAAACGUAUUGGGGCGGGCACCAUGAUAGAUUAUAUAGGGCGGGAUUUUUUUUUAUCAUAUUUUUUGUAUGCCCAUCUUUUAAGCAGAAAUUUAAGAGUCAGAUAAAAAUAAAAUUUACACGCCGCACCCUCUUUCUUCCUCGUCAAGUGAUAUGCUUUCUGAUACAUAUUGUAAACCUUUCUAAUACACAUCCAGCAACAACCUAAUACAUAUUUUCAGAUAAAUCUAUACAUAGUUUCCAUAUUACAGGACUCAUCAGUACAAUAGUAUAUGGCUAGUUGAUGCACACCUAGUAAUAUAGUCAUCUAACAUCCCAAUUAAAGCUGAUGAUGGGCCGGGCUUGGACAUAGGAAUUGUCAAAUUUUACAUAGACCCAGCUCGAAGCCUGACUAAAAAUAAACAGUGUUUAGGCCCGAGGCCCAGCCCAUGAUCAACUCUAAUUCUAAUACGCAACUCUAGAUAAUCGAUAUACAGUUUUUAUAAUACACACUCAUCUUCUUUCUAUUAUAUAUUGUAAGUUUUUCUAAUGCACACCAGCAACAACCUAACACAUACCUUUAGGUAAAUUCAUAUAUAGUUUUCAGAACAUGGUAUUCACUAGUACACACUGCACAGUCAAAUUAUAUAUACCUAGUAAAAUAGUUAUCCAACAUUCCAAUACAUGCAUUUAUAUAAAUCGAUACAUAGUUUCCAAAAGGAUGAGAGAAAGGGACUCAGAAGGAGAAAGAAAACCUCAACGGUUGGAGACACAAUUUGAAGAGGAAGAGGAUUGAAGGAGAGGCUUGACGAGGAAGAAAGAGGAUACAGAUGGUCUUUUUUCGUGGAUAGUCUCUCUUAGCACAUGCAUUUUUUUUUCUUUUUCUGUAAGUUAGAGGACUUAUGGACUCCAUUAGUAGAAAUUCUCUUAUUCCUAUUUAACUUCUGGGUUUUUCUUUAAGAUAGGUGAAAAAGAUACUUUUUUAUUUCAGACCUCAAAAUGAUGGAAUUUGGGCUCAAUUGCUAGAGAGCUAUCCCCUAAAGAGUGUGGUAUCACGUCGUAAAUCUUGAAAGACUAUCUGAUUUAAAAAAUAUAUAUAUCUCAAUUGGAUGUUGUAUGACCAAGUUAUGACAUCCAAAAAUUUGGCCUAUAAUUUGGCUUUCCGAUGUGAAGGAUUUUGCUUCUAAACUCUAUCCAGUUCUACUCGUAGUGGCUAAAGUAGUUCGCAUUCAUUUGGAGAUCCUUCUAGAUCAUUGUUGGGCCAUUUUUCAAUUUGUGCAUGUCAUCCUUAAGAACGCCAUGCUUGUCUUCUUUGUGUCGUUCCACUUUUCUCGGGUGGCUGAUGUUCUUGAUAAUAACACUGCUGUUCAUGUUGAUAAUAACAUCGUUGCUAAUGUUCUUUUAAGUUCUAGUUCUUUCCCAACUGUUUCUGAAGUCGCAUCAUCCGUGACUGGGUUUUGGAUUCUUCUGUCAAACAAAAUUAUAAGUGUUUGACUCCCCAGGUUCUUUAAUGAUAUAUUAUAUUAUCUAAGGCUAGCUAGUUCGUCCAGAGGUCCUUGUCUCCUCUCCCCCCCAGCACCGACUGGUUCCCACUUUGUCUCAAGACUUCUCAAAAAAGAGGAAGACAGCACCCGGUUGUAUACAAAAUGAUGGAAGAAUACGUAUAGGAGAUGGUAAGCACUGAGUGUUAUUAUACCCCUUCCUUUUUCUAUCUAUGUUAAUGUAUGACAGGAUAAAGAAUAAUUUUCAGUUUCUCCAAGUUUUUUUAGCAGUGAAGUUUCUGUUUAAGUAUGCUAUCUUUUUGGUCGUGGCUAGAUAAAAACCCAGUUGAAUAAUCUUCCAAAUCACAGUGAUUUAAUGGCUUAGUUUAAUUCUAUAAACAUUUCCUCCAAGUUAAUAUCAGCUUUUUAAGUAAUAAUCAUUGUCCAUAUAAUGGCUUUAUCUCACUCACAAUGUAUUAUAUUGGAUAUUCUUAUUAUAACACUAAUUAUUUGUUAUGGGGCAAACUUAUUUUAUCAUACAUACAACAUAGUUGUGAUUAAUAAAUAAUAGGUAAUGGUGCUAUAUUGCUGUCGACAUGGUCUAAAAUUGCUGUUAUAACAUAUGAAUAUCAUCAUGAAUUAGUGAUUUGAAAACUUAUGGCUUCUUGGUUAUGACCCUAUUAUAAUAGGGUUAAGUACCGCUCUUGGACCCAACCUCUAAUUAAUUACACAUCAAAGAAGGUUUUGACCCUCUCUAAUUAAUGACACAUCAAGGAAGGUUUUGACCCUGUUUUGGUUAGACAGGGUCACAAUUCUUGUUUGAUGUGUAAUUAGCAGUAGGGUCCAAGAGUGGUACUUAACCAAUGCAAUAUUGAUGGUCCAGCCAACUUCAUCGAUGUAGAAUUAAAAUAAAGAAAGUAAACGUGUGUUGCCUUCGCUGUAACAACCUACGGGUCCUCGCAUAUUCUUUCUGUUCAAGACCUAACAUCCUAAUCAAGCUAAGGGUUAAAAUUUAAUUACAAGCACCAUGAUAAGCCUAUAGUUAGCCUCUAUUAACCAGUGUUGCAGUGUCUCCUAAUCCACAUAGGUAAUAGAUCGAGUUCACUCUGAUAUCAUUUGUCAUAACAUAGAAUCUCACCCAAAAUGACUAGCUGAAAGGUAUUUUUUGGGUUCUUUAGUCCUGUAUAAGUACCCAAAAUCUCUUCGGCGAAUAAUUAAUGUGGGACUAAACACACCCCGUAUAGAUCCUCACUUACGCUUUCACCCACCCGUCCCCACCACCGGUGCCUACCGAUCCACCACCAGAUGGUAGCACUCCACCAUCGAGAUAGAGCACCACCAAUCCAGAACAGAAAAUUGCAAAAUAUUACUUUUUUUAAAAAAAUAAAAAAUAAUGAGGCUGGUAAUAUGUAGGUAACGGUGCUGGCAGGGCCGGCCCAACGGCCGCCUAGGCCCGGCCCGAAGACGAGGAAUAGCUGGGUGCUUUUGUCGCCGGAGCAUCUGCAGGAGGAAUGUCAGUUUUUGUUCGAUUUUGCGUGAAAGAUCUGGUUUUUGUUCCUUUUCGGUCGAGUCCAGAUCGAAUGGGACGAUGAUGCCCAGUCGAUGGAUUUUGUGGUUUUGAAUGAUAGAUAGGAUGGGAGUAAUGAAAGCGUGUUAGGGAUUUCAGGUCCGGCGAGGAAGGGAGGAGGGGCGAGGGCGAUGGAUGCGGGAGAUUUGAGAAGAGUGAUGAGGAGCAUGGGCGUAGAUCUGUGGACGCUGAUCGAGACCGCGCUCGACGUCGCCGCCGCGGACUAUGGCAAGGAGCUCCGGGCGCGGCGAGACGGGAUCGUGGAGCGGCUCUACGCGGCGGGGCCAGGGGCGGCGGAUGGGUGCCGGAACUGCGCUCCCGGCGCCGCGGCGGAGCGGGCGGCGGCCGUCGGCCUGCCGACGGGGGGAGUGGAGGGGAAGGGGAGUAGUAGCCCCGCGGCCGGGAAGGGGGCGACGGCGGCGUCGCCUCUGUCGAUGAACGGAGAUGAGAAAGGAGAAGAGCGAGAAGGAGAAGACGAUGACCAUCCGAUCGACGACAAGACCAAAAUCUUGGCCAUUAAAGAGUUCCUGGAAGACCCCGAUCAGGUCCAUUUCCUUCCUUCUUCUCUGCAUUUUUUUUCUUUUAUUUCCUUUAAUAAUAAAAAGGUUAUUUUUGGAAUGAAUUUUUGUGUUGGUUCGCACAGAAGGAGGAUUCUUUGGUAAGCCUGCUGCAAAAUCUUGCAGACAUGGAGAUUACAUUCAAGAAUCUCAAGGUAAAGUCAAUUCUAAUUUUUCUUUUUAAAAAUUCUUGUUUUAUGUCUCAUACUUUUAUUAAAAUUUAGUUUUUAUUUCUUCUUCUCUGGAUUCAGGAAACAAAUAUAGGAAGGCAUGUGAACGGCUUUCGCAAGCAUCCGUCGCCAGAAGUACGGCAAUUGGUUUCAGGUUUGAAGUCGAUUCUGUCAUUCUCUCCCAAGAAGUCCAAAUUCUCAUCAGAAGAAAUAAUUGACCAAUGCCCUCACCUUCCUAUCGAGUUGAAGGCCACCCAGCUGGCUAAACCUUUUCUGCAUCAUGAUGACUUCAAGUCUCUCCACUAUGAAGUCUAUCAUCAGGUGGACAAAGGAGUCAUAGUUGCUGGAUGUAGCCACACCAUAUUGGGCGCUUCCAAGUUCCAAGAAGCAAUCUUUGCCUGCAAUUUUUGAGUUUCUUUCAGAGGUUGGACUUUUUUUAAUCAAAGAUUUAGGUUUCUGGGUUUUGUUGCACUUAUUAAAUUUUUUUAUCAAUUUAAAAAAAAAAAUUUAGCGAGUCCGCCUUGGCCCCAAAUGCAUUGGCCGCCUCUGCGUGCUGGCGGCUUGUUAACAACAAAAUACUCCGAAUACAGCUCAGAUAUCUUCUAAUUUUGUAUAAAGAUAAUAUAGAGGAGUCCAAGACCAAUCUUAUUUUAUUAGAUCAGAGAUUGUGAUUGUAUCUUUCGUGCAACGGAAGGAUUCACCUUUCCUCCUGCGAAUCCACCAUUGGAUCACCCACUGGUCACUUUGAGAUCUGUGCCGGUAGUGAGUGAUGGAGCCCGGAGCGCUUUGAUGUCCGUGCGGUGGGUGAUCCAACGGUUGAUUCGUUCGAAAGACACAACCCGGAUCCACGUCGGCCGUUUGCCGCUAUUUUUUUGGCCCAACAUUAGGAUAACAAGAAACAACGACGACCGAGAGAGAGAGAGAGCGAAAGCGCCGUGAACCACAUUAUAAACACACGUAUGCCCAGAGAGGGGGGGCGCGCGCGAGGGAGGGAGAGAGAGAGAGAUGGGAGGAGAAGAUGAGAGUCCUCUGUUUGAGACGAAGGGAGAAAAGGGAAGGAUUUGGUAUAAACUUUAUGCUUUCUCUGUGUUCGUUGGGUUGUGUUUAAUCUGGGUGUACAGAGCUAGCCACAUCCCAAAGCUUGGAGAAGAAGGGAGGUGGAUUUGGUUGGGGCUCUUUGGAGCUGAGCUCUGGUUCGGUUUCUACUGGGUUCUCAACCAAUCCGUGCGCUGGAAUCCAGUAUAUCGUCGCACCUUCAAAGAAAGGCUCUCCAAGAGGUAAGAGAAACGCUCUCUCUCUCUCUCUCUCUCUCUCUCUCGCUCUCGCUCUUACACACACAGACAAAGCUAGUAGAGACAACUGCACACGAUUAGGUUCGAGCACAUGGGUGGACGGUGGUGAAGGUUGGAAGAUAAAAAUAUUGGCAUGAAAACAACUUCACCGAUUUCCACGCCUCGUUUUGUCUUUUUGUCAAAGGGUGCAGUAAACUAUGACCGCCGUUUCCAACCUCCGCAAAGAGAAAAAUGAGAGAGAGAGAGAGAGAGAUUGAUUCAAAGUAAAAACGACAAGAAUUAAAAAUAAACAUUCAGCAAAGAAAAGAUCGAUGAAGCAGGCCCACCAGUCCAGCAAACUUCAAUCAUUGUAUUUGAGAGUCAACUCUCAAACAGUCAUUAACAUUGAACCUGAUAUUUUCAAAGGUAUCAGAAUGGCCAUUCUAACCUUAUAAAAUCCGUUUUUGCUUUUAUCUGAAAUUAUUUUUCUGUAUAUAUAUAUUUUUAAGAAUAAUGGUGGUUUUUUUAGCCAGACACCUCCUAUUUAGCCGUGGACAACAAAGAUUUAGGGUUGUUUACUAUUUUUUUUGAUUUUUGAUUUUUUUUAUUUAUCUCUAUAUCACUGAAAUAAUAUAUGAAGAUUGAUAUUGAAGAUAACAUUUGCAUAAAACUUUUGCUAUCUUUUUUUUUUAAAUCAAUUGAUUUAUACUGCCAAAACUUUAAAAGUUGUGCAAAAAAAUUGUAAAAAAUAAACGGGGUUUUACGGUACAUAUUGUUCACUCUAGUUCAUUUUUUUUCUUGGAUUUUGAAAACAAAAAUAGAAGACGGAAGUAAUACCAAAAGGGACCCUAGAGAAUUAGUGAUUUUAAAAACAUGACCUAUAUAUGUUCUCUUCUUUUAGAUUACGGAAAACACAAUUCUCAGGAGCUGGCAAAUAUCUUUUUCUUAAAUUCACUAUUGUAAGGAUUCUUUGUUGGUCCAAUACAAUACUAGGUAAAAGAUUUUGAUUUUUUCUGGUGUUGGAGUUUUCCGAAGAUUACCUACUAAUCAAGAUUUGAUUCCACUAAAGUUAGAAUCUUAUAAGUGUUAGUCGCUGUAAAGAUUCCACCUGAUUUUAUUUUGAGGGAUUUUUUUUUUAGGAGGGGGAUUCCAUCUAAUUUUCAGCACCUAGAAACACCAUAUAGAGAAGAAUUAGAUGACUGAACCUCUUCAAGAUGUUGCAUAACCUAUCUAUUUCCUCCCUUUAGAUGAAUUUGGAACUGUUUGAAAUCCUAAAUUGGUAACUGUGCGCAAGGGACUAGUUCAGACAUAAAAGCUUCUUUCUUAACUGCCAUCCCAAAUGGUACUGGAAUUUCUUAAUACACUAGCAGUUUUGAAAAUUGGAAGUUGUUCCAAUUAAGGUCCGCCGUACCGGUACCGGUUGGCGUACCGGUACCGGUUGGCGUACCGGUGGUGGCCCGGACCGGUACGAAACCGGUCCCGUAUCGGUCCGAACCGGUGGCGUACCGGUCCCAACCGGUUCCGUACCGGUUCCGUACCGGUUCUUCAACAAUAAACUACCGUCUUGUAUGGUGCAUCCCAACUUUUUGGACUUAAAGUUAUAAUAUUAAGUCUCUCUCUCUCAAAAAUCCUUGUAGCAGUUUCUAGCUACCAAAAAUCUUCAAGUCUUCGGGUGGUGCAUCUUCAAGAUCCACAAAAUUCUAGUGCAAGUGGAUCGCUCUAUGGAGCACAAAGCUCAAAGUCUGCUGCUAUUAAUAUAUGUGAUUUUAGUUUAGCAUGUCUACACAUGUCUAUGAAAAAUUAAAAGAAACCAUCUAGCUUUUGGCACCCUAAAUUUCAAGAGACAUGCAUCUUUCUUAAUUUGCACCCGAGCCUGCCAUUCUCUCUUGACAGUCUUUCACCAUCAACAUUUCUUGCCCACAAUAUAUCAAAGGUCCAAAGUCCCGUGCUCCGUAGGUUAAUUGUAGAUAUGGGAGGCAGUCGGGUCGGGUUGGACAAGAUAUGGGUCAAAUUGGAUGCAUAAUUUUUGUCAAUUCGAAUCAUUAAAUUGGUCAAAAAUUCAGAUCCAAAACUUGGCCAUUUAUUAAACAGAUAAUUUAACCCGAUUAUAACAAGUUGAAAUAAAUUAAACGGAUUAACCAGUUAACUAUUGCCACACUUGUUCAUACACCAAAUUCUCCGGCCCAUGACCUGUCACCUUUUUUGCAACCCUGCAGUAACCCAACAAGCUCAUCUCCAGUCAUUUAUCUUGCGAUUACGGCGGGCAUCGAAGUAAUAAGGGUUCUUGCUUCCAAGUUCUCAUCAUCCAUAUAUAGUUUGAGUUAUAUGGCUCUCCCACAUGUAGUGAUUUGUUCAUUCUUAGAUGCAAAUUAAUUGAGCCCAUUUUGUGAGCUUCCAAUCUGCACCUGUAACUCUAGAUGAUUGAAUUCCCAUCUAAACUGCAAACUCCACUCAGAUACGAGGAGCUAGGCCUUUAUUCCAAACAUUCAUUUUGUUCUUAAAAGGGCCAAAAUGAACAUCCUUAAUGAGUUCAUGCAAACAUAUUUAACAGUACGUAUAUUGUUUGAUCGAAAAAAGACAAUGUGAUCUUUCAUGGAAUAGAUACCAAGCCAAGUUGCCCAAUGUCGAUGAUUUCGUGUGCACGGCAGACCCAAUGAUAGAACCACCAGCUAUGGUGAUCAGCACUGUUCUUUCAGUCAUGGCAUACGAGUACCCGCCGGAGAAGCUUAGUGUCUACCUCUCUGAUGAUGCUGGGUCUGAGCUCACAUUCUAUGCUCUCCUAGAGGCGUCUCGCUUUGCAAAGUCUUGGAUACCCUUUUGCAAGAAGUUCAAGGUGGAGCCUAGAUCUCCAGAUGCUUAUUUUAAAGGAGAAUGUAUGUGCCCAAAAGAUGGCCUACAAGCUGUUGAAUGGGGAAAAAUAAAGGUAACAUGUCAUACUAGAGUCAUGUUUCAAUUAUUUGACUGCAUAUUAUUAAGACUGCUUGAUAUGUAUAUCCAGUAAUUUCUGUCCACUUGAACUCCUAUGUUGUCAUAGAGCCUGUACACAGAGAUGGAGAACCGAAUCAAUGAUGCCGUAAAAUUUGGGAAGGUUUCAGAAAAUAUUCGCAAACAGCAUAGAGGAUUUCUUGAGUGGAACAGGGCUACAACUUCUCGAGAUCACCAAGCUAUUCUCCAUGUAAGUUGGUUUGCUUGUGCUUAUUGGUGGAGGAUAUGACCAUAAUUCACCCAUAAAUGUAGAGCUUAUGUCUUAUAUAUAAUGUAGAAAAGCCAUCUUGUGCUAAGGCUUUUGAGUGAGCCAACUUGUACUAAGUUAAAAUGUAUACCUACAAUAUUCUUCAAUGAAUGCAUUCUGAUUUCUGAUCUAUAUUUGUUUAGAUUUUAAUUGAUGGGAGAGAUACGAAUGCUAUUGAUGAUGAAGGCUUUACACUGCCCACAUUGGUUUACAUGGCUCGUGAGAAGAGACCCUAUCGCCACCAUAAUUUCAAAGCUGGAGCUAUGAAUUCUCUGGUAAAAACUCCAUUUGGAUGCAUACCUAUAUUUAUUUUAAUGCUCCUAUAAAAUCUAUACUAUAUUAUCAAAUGAGAGAGAAAUAUAUCAUUUUGGAUUCAGUCUAUCAAAUUUGUUCUCUUUUCACAAAUGUCUAUAAACAAUACAAAUAUGAUGUAAGAUAUGUAAUGCAUGCAUACUAAUAUUUAUUUUUUAGUCUCUAUUUCUCAUCUAUAAAUUUUUUCCUAAAUAUUUCAAAUCAAUUGGACUUGCUCUAGUAUUUAAUAGUCAUAAUAAUAAUAAUAAUAAACUAUCUAUCUCUUAUGCAUAUCCCCAGCGAAUUGGAUUCUUUUCAAAAUUUAAAAACAAACAAAAGUAUUGAUAUUCAUAUCUAACCAACAUGUUUUUUCUCUCUAUUAUUCCUCCAUUUUUAUUUUCUUUUAAUGUUCAUUGCAUUUGUUCAUUUGCUAGUAAAUACUCAAAUCACCCUCCAUUCUCACCAAUUUUUUGCAUUCUUCAGGUAAGGGUUUCAUCAGAGAUUAGUAGUGGAGCAGUCAUGCUCAAUGUUGACUGCGAUAUGUAUUCGAGCAAUUCAGAAACUGUAAAAGAUGCAUUAUGUUUCCUUAUGGAUGAAGAGAAGGGCCAUGAGAUCGCAUAUGUGCAACUUCCACAGCUCUUCAAUAACAUAACCAAGAAUGACAUUUAUGGCAGUUCACCAAUGUGGGCUUGGAAGGUGGGUGGCAUCAACAAUAUAAGCUCCACGCCAAAAUCUUAUAAAAUUUCAUCUACAAAUUAUCAGUAAAUUUAGCAACACAAAUCUCUGACAAGCAACAUUACUGACUUCAACUAUAUAUAUGGUGUAAAAUCGGUCCACCGCUCGCGCGCGCGAGGGAGAGAGGAGGCAUGAUAGUUGUGAUGCUGUAANNNNNNNNNNNNNNNNNNNNNNNNNNNNNNNNNNNNNNNNNNNNNNNNNNNNNNNNNNNNNNNNNNNNNNNNAAGAUUGUUUAAAUUUCUAAAUCAUAAUAGAGAUUUCAAACUCUUACCUCACACUUUUUUCGGAUAUGAAGCAGGACUUUCAUGGUUUGGAUGGAUAUGGCGGGCCUCUGUACGUGGGAUCUGGUUGUUUCCACAGAAGAGAGAGUCUCUGUGGGAAACACUUCAAUGAAACUUGCAAAGCAGCACUUCGAGCGAAUGAGAGGAACAUGGAAGCUAGUGCAUCCACUUUGGAGGAGAGAGCAAAAAGUCUUAUUACCUGCACCUAUGAGGAUAACACUGAAUGGGGAAAAGAGGUCUCUCUGCCAUUCCAUCUUAGAUUAAUAUAUGUCGACAUGUCUAUUAGAACUUAUUUCUUUCUUUAUGCAUAUCCAUCUCUCAUUUCUUACGACCUCAGUGAACUUGGAUUUGUAGAUGGGUUUGAAGUAUGGAUGCCCGGUGGAGGAUGUGAUCACUGGCUUGGCAAUCAAAUGCAGGGGAUGGAAAUCCAUCUACUUCAAUCCUUCGAGAGCGGGUUUCUUAGGUGUUGCCCCUGUGACAUUGGCGCAGACGCUAGUGCAGCACAAGAGAUGGUCUGAGGGGGAUUUCCAGAUAUUCUUAUCCAAGUAUUGCCCCUUCCUCUAUGGGAAGGGGAAACUAAAGCUGGGCCUUCAAAUGGGAUACAGUAUAUAUUGCCUAUGGGCUCCUUGCUCCUUUCCAACACUGUACUACGUUAUCAUCCCCCCCUUCACCCUUCUGCAUGGCAUUUCCUUGUUUCCAAAAGUAAGAACCGUCUUCCUCUCUAUCUCUAUCUCCCUCUCUCUCAUGCAGAUUGUGUUACAUUUCUAAUGAACAGGCAUCUGGCAUAUGGUUCGUGCCAUUCUCAUAUGUGAUCGCUGCUACAACUAUGUUUAGUUUAUGGGAGGCAUUUUUGUUUGGAUGUACCAUGAAAAGGUGGUGGAACGAGCAGCGGAUGUAUUUGUUCAAGAGAUUGGCUUCUUACCCCUUCGCGUUCGUUGACACAAUCCUUCGGCAUCUGGGUCUUAACAAGUCUACAUUCAUCAUCACUGCGAAGGUGGCUGACGAAGAGGUCUCAAAGAGAUACAAGCAAGAGAUGAUGGAGUUCGGCUCGCCUUCUCCCAUGUUCACAAUCCUAGCGACGCUUGCGAUGCUCAACCUCGUCUGCCUCAUCGGUGGAGCCAAGAGGUUGGUGUUGGGUGAAGGAAUUGGUCUACUUGGCUCCAUGCUGCUGCAGUUUGUUCUCUGUGCAUCCGUCGUUCUCAUCAACAUGCCCGUCUACCAAGCAAUGUUCUUCCGUAAUGAUGGGGGACGCAUGCCAACCUCCGUCACAUUGACUUCGGUUGCUCUGGCCAUGUUAUUAGCUUACAUGGUUCCUGAGCAGUAUUUCAGGCUUCCAAGAGUUUAUGAAUGAGAGAAAAGAAAGGAACAGGAGGUUCUUUUUGAUUCAUGAAGUCAUGGCGCAUAAGAUGGAAAUCGGCUGCAGCAGAGGCAAGUUAUUGUAUUAUGAGAUCUCCAUGCUCUUCUAGCUAGCCUAAAUAUUGAAGCAUCAUCAUCAAGGGCUUAACAUGUUGAAUUGCUUCAUGCAAAGGCAACUUAAUAGUUGAAAACAUCUCUUUGUUAUAUCAAACUAAUGAUAUGUGAUUCAUCAUCUACCUAUAUAAUUACUGAUUCUCAUCAAAGCAUGCAUUCCAUCUCAUCAAUGGAGGAAGUCAUCAUGUGGUGAGCAAGCUACUUAUAUGCGCUUCGUCGUACUUUCAUGCUCUGCAUCGGUUUCGCACGAACAAGUUUAUAUUAGAAAGAAAUAAAAUUGCACUGUGGAUAGCUUAAAAGGCACAUUAUACUGAGUUCGACAUUUACAUAGUAAAAUUCCUGCACUAUCUCCAGCGCCACCUUCAACACAUUACCUGAAUGCCAAGCAUAUAUAAUGCAGUGAAUGAUAGAUCCAUCAAUAGAGAAUCAGAAAUGCAAAUAUCAUUUAUAAAAACUGAAAUUUUAUAGAAAACUUAGGAAACAUAAAAAUGAAAGAUCCCGGAUCAAGUUGCCUUUCGCGCAGAGAGGUAAAGAAAUUUUCACGUACAGGCUAUUGGAGAAAACAAACUUAAGCUAUGAGGCAGCGAGGAUGCAGUCUACAUGAUUUUUAAAAACCUAUUCCCACAUUCAUAAAUCUUAAAGCUCAUCAUUAAGUAAUCAAUUUUUCCAAGCACUUAAACCGGCAGAAAAAGGGUCGGAAAACUUGUGAUCUGAUAGUAAAUUAGCUAACUAAUUUAUCUCUAAAGCUUAGACUGAUAUGGAAUAGAUCGGUAACACUUACACAAGUCAAUUGUAUUAGCAGGUGAAUUAAUCGAAACGUAUGUAAGACCAAAUUGUUGCCCAAUUGCAUGCGGUUCAGCAUGAAAUGAACCGAUCUGCAACAUUGCUAAGAUCAACAAUUCCACAGGUUGCUUAGCCCAUUACAUUACCUUAACUUCUUUCCCCCCUACAUCUUCUCACUAGUUUUAUUUGUUGCAUCUUGUUACAUGUGAACCGUGCUGCCAGAAGACGUACUGGACUUGAACUCAAUUAAAAAAAAAAAAAAACUUUAACAUGAAUACUCUUUCAAAAAUUCAAAUUUACAUAGAUACCUUCUUAAUAUUUAUAUUUACUUCUGUACCUCAUAAAACACUGUUUUUGCACGGAUGCCUCUAACAUAACGGUUCUUCGAACACCGUAAAUAAAAACCAUAAUUAUUUUAAUUAAAAAUCAAAUAAAAUUUUAAAAUUAUUUUUUUUGUUUGUCAUCGUGACUGUCUCAUAAAUGUUUCUUUGUAUAUAUCUACGUAUUAAGGAUAUUUUAGUUAUUUUAAUUUAAAACCGUUAAUUUUUUAACGGUGUUAGAUGGUGUGGGUAUGCAAAAAUAAAAAUUAAAAAAAAAUAGAAUAGCAAAAUAAGUAUUUUAUGAGAGUGUACAUGUAAAUAUUAAUUUUAUAAGAAUAUUUAUGUAAAAUUGAAUAUUUAGAGGCAAAAAUUUUAUUAAAAAGAAUAUUCUUUAAUCAUCCAUUUAAUACCCCCUUUUAAUUAAUUAGUCAACCGGAUCACCGAACUUAAACGGUACCUGACGGCGGGCCCCGCGUGUCGGCGAACUCUUUCGGAAUUGGGGUGGAAGGAUGCAUCCACUAAUUUAAUAAAAGCUUUUGAUCCAUUAAACUAGAUUUUUUUUAUUGAAAACUUAAAAGCGAAUUUAAUAUUUAUUUCUUUAAUUAUUAUGUCCCCAAAGCUUCUCCCCUUCUCCCCACCCUUGCUUUGAAAAAUAAAAGGAGUGGAAAAAGAAAAGAAAAGAGCCGUUUGGGGAAGAAAUAACUCGGCUUUUCCUCCCUCCCAUUUAGAAGAGCAGAUCGAAAGGUAUUCACCAUUUUCUUUCGAGCAUUCUUUGCGCUUGUUUCUGAUUUAUUUUUUUCUUUAUAUCAGAAGAAUGGACCCUAAUUUUCGCUAAUGCUGGAUCUAGGAGUCGGGUUUUUUCUUUUUUUAUCUGGUGGGGAUCAAGAAUUGGUAUUUUGUUUUAUGUGUUCCGGUUGUUGGUCGUGGAUCGGGGAAUUUUAGAGCGUGUAGAUCCGAUGGAUUUAUAAAUUAGUGAAUUCUUUUAGCUGUUCUAGGAUUCUUUUAGGGUUUAUGAGAAAUGAAAGCGCUCUGAUGGCGUACAGAAGAGGUAACUAUGGCUCCGUUCGAUGGAAGUUCUUAAAUUAGUAAAUUCGUAUUUUUGGAUUUUUUUAAGCUUACAUUUUCUUUUUUUUUGGGAAAAAAAUCUGCUGAAUCUGGAAAUUUGGUAUGACGUGGUACGGAAAAAUGAGUUCCGUAGACCUAUGAUCAUUACAAUUUCAGGAUUGAAAAUGUUUUUUUUCUGGAAUGAGAUUAACUCAAGCAAGUUUGUUGUUUGUUCAAGUCCUUAUUGGCGAGAUCUUUAGUAUCAAAUUUCUAUUUCCCCCCCAAUUUUUUUGUUUCUUGCUGGUGCAGUCUUUUCUUGAUUUGUCGGAACUUCUAAAAAAUCUUCUUUUUUGACAAAAUGAGUUAGACAUUGAAUUAAUAAAUGCAAAGCGUUGAUUUUAAGUUUAUAUUGAUUUGAACAAUUUUUUAGCUAAACAACAGCUUGCAAGCAGGUCCCCGGCACCGAUUUCUAGCUUGUCUUUCUUUUUUGUGAUGUAUUUCAUGGGGGCUUCACUUGAUAACUGCUGCUAUAUCUUUGGCUCCAGCAAAAUGUGUUUGUUGUCUCUUCUGAUUUGAAUGCGGUCAUGUGCAGAUGGAAACAUGCUCUUUCAGCUCUCUACUUUUUGUAUUCUUGAGCCUUCUGUUGAGUGUGUGGUCAGCUGCUGGAAUUAGGUUUGUGAUAGACAGGGAAGAAUGUUUCUCUCAUUCAGUUCCCUACGAAGGAGAUACAGUUCUUGUGUCGUUCGUUGUGAUCAAAGCUGAAAGGUCGUGGCAUUAUGGUGAUGAGGGUGUUGAUUUUGUGGUAUGUCUUUGGCAUUCCUGGAGAAUUGGAAUUGAUACUCUAAUUGAUUUUAAAUUUUAAGUCUAUCGAACAUUCUUCCUUGUCAACAUCAUUUGGGCAUUAUAUUUGACUGACUCAAAAAAAGUCCAAUCUAACAUAAGAUUCAUGAUCAAUCUGGCUUUUUCUUUGAUAAAUACCCACUCGAUUUGUGUGGAGCAUCACCCAGUUGUUUAAUGGUCUUUUUUUUUGAAAAAAUUUCUGAAAAAAAUACAUGACUUGUUUUAUGUAUCUAUGCUUUUAAGAAUGACUUUUCCAGCUAAUAGAUUAUUCUUCAGGCUUCCUCUCUCAAAUGAAAACUGAGAAUCAUUUAAAUGUUCUUUGUUGAAUUUUGGGGGAAAUUAUAUUGUUAGCAGGAUCCCUAACGAGAGUAGCGUUGCUCUAAAAAGUGUUGCUUCUCCUUUCUGGCGAGGCCUGUUAGAGUUACAAUAUGUGUUUUCUGACUGCAUAGGGUUAUUGGCAAAAAUGAAUCAACAAUUUUUGGCUGGAUUUGGGCAAACAAGCUUUGAGCAUCCAGUUUCUGAAGCUCUUCGGGUUAGCAGAUAUUGAGAACAGUUUGGUGACUGAUGAGGAGUUUCUACAGAUGGUUUUAAGUAUAGAACAAGAUUCAGAUAUAUAAUUGCUGAGGAGGAAGAGUAAGAGAUGGAAUCUUCAGAGGAGCUUCUGCAUUUUUGCCUGUCAGAGGAGGAAGAUAAAUUUUUGUGGAAGUGGGGAAGAAAUGGAGAGUUCUUGUUAAGCUAUUUGUCUAAUUUUUUUGCACAAAGGAGAUAGUCUAGUACUCUAUGCUUCUGCUUUGUGGAAAUGCAAAGUACUGGAGAAGCUCAAGGUUUCCACUUGGCUGGUUUUAAACAAUUGUCUUUAUGGUAGGCAAUCAGAAAAUAGAACAUUGGUCGACUCUACAAGGAUGUUCACUGUGCGGCAGGCACGAUGAGAUGGUGAACCACCUGUUCCUGAAGUGUGGUUAUGUUCAAGCUAUUUGGAACCUUUUGGACAAGUUUGCUUAAGGAAAUUCCCUCAAAACCAACAGGUCACCAUGGGUUGCACAUAUUGAUAAAACCCAACUAUAGGCCCAUAGGAUAGUGUUGACUGUGGGGUUGACCAAGAGCUAUGGUUUGAGUGAUGAGGAAGGGUGCAUAGUUAACAUUAAGGAGAAGAAGAAAACAGACUGAAAAUAAAAGUGUAGCAAACAGCAUGUUCACGAGUGAUCAUGUUUUUUCUCAUUUUUCUUUUCUCUCACACUUUUGGCACCCACUUUAGAUCUCAUUUUUUUGGCUUUAUUUUGUGUUCAUUUCUUAAGAUAUAUAACAGAUAAGUGAAGCUUGGUCCAUCUAAAAUAAAUAAUGUAGAUAUACCUUCAUAUUACCUAACCACCAAAGCAAAGAGCAUUCAUCUUCAUAUCUGUGCCCCACAAGCAGUUGUCAAGGAGGUUUUUGAUAUCCCACUUCACCAUAAGUUUACUCUGGCCAUUUUCAAAGAAGAGUAACAUCACAUACACAUUCUUGCAACUCCAACAAUGGACCCAUCAAAUCAAAUAUGGAAGAUAUGGUUGGUAUAAAUCUAUCCACUUGAUCUUUUUUUUUUCUUUUUUCAUAAAACUAAAUGAUGGAUGGACCUAAUAUAGUCUAGAGUGUUAAGUGAUCAUUUCAGAUAUAUCCUGUCCAUGCAGUGAUACUCCCCACCUAUCUCCAUCUUGUCUGGCCUCUGGCCUUACCCAACCUUCUCAAUCAGUUUCAUCAUAGAACAUAGCAUGGGUUGAUGAAUUGUUUUUUCUGCAACUUAUGUCAUUUAGAAGGAGCAAAGAUAAAUAAAAGGGAAUAUGAUCAAUAUGUCUACUACAUAGUUUUAUAGCCUAGAACUCUGGGAAAUGCAUUCAUUGAAGAUUUAUGGGGAAGCAUCUAGGUGAAUAUCUACAUCUAUGCUUUGACCAGGUCAAAAUUUUUUCUUGUAAUGACACAUUGCGGUUCCACUCCUAAUGCUUCAGUAGUCAAUGGGGAAUGUAGUUUUAUCAUUAAUACUAAUUUAUGACAAUUGAAAAGAGAAUAUCUAGAGAACUUCUAGGCUGAAAGGAUUUUCCUACAGUUUUGACUUGUCGGAUUUUAGUAAAAUCCACUCACUUUAUGAAGGUAAUUUCUAUUUGAGAGCUAGUUUUAGUGUCAGUCUAUUACCUAUUCUUGGGUUUGUUUGGGGCUUGGUGUAUUUAAUCAAUUGUGCAAGACGGCAAGACCAAACAUUUUCCAAUCAAGAUGAUGCUUUUAAAUUUUAAUUCUUAACUUAACGAACUCGGCUAACCUUAUUGAAUGCCUAUUCCUUGUGUGAUUUUUUUUUGUGGGAGCCAUGAACCAGAAUACGCUAAAGUCAUUGAAUUCUUUUGGAAUUGCAUGGCAAUGUUGUUUGUUUGCAUGAUUUAACACACUCUACUCAUUGAUUAGUACACUUUCAUUUAUAUCCGUCUUCUGUUAAUCAUUGACACUAUCCAAAAAGAAGGGGCCCACAUAAUUAUUUGAUUAUGUACUGCUUUUAGUAAGUCCUUAAAUGAAAACAUAUGGCAACCGAAUUCUUUUGGAAUUGCAUGGCAAUGUUGUUUGUUUGCAUGAUUUAGUGCACUCCCCUCAUUGAUUAGUGCACUUUCCUUUAUAUCUGUCUUCUGUUAAUCAUUGACAUCAUCUGAAAGAAACGGGCGCAUGUAAUUAUCUGAUUAUCUACUGCUUUCAGUAAGUCCUUAAAUAAAAACAUAUGACAACCUGCAGUUCUAGCUUGCAAAUAGUUGGAGAAUGGCUUAUUUUUUAUAGUUGUGGUUCACUGUCCAUUUUCUUAUAUUAUCACUGACCUCACGAGUAUCUGAUGUUUUAUCAGGUGAAGGGCCCUCAUGGUGAUCAAAUCCACGAUGCUCGUGACAAGACAAGUGAAAAGUUUGAAUUCAUAGUCCAGCAAAAAGGUCUUCACCGUUUCUGUUUCACCAACAGGUCCCCUUACCAUGAAACCAUUGACUUUGAUAUACAUGUGGGCCAUUUCACACAUUUUGAUCAGCAUGCAAAAGAUGGUAAGCCUGCUUAUUCUCACUUUCAAUGUUUAUCAGUCAAAGCAUAUCUUUUUGUUAACAUCUUCGGAUUAUUUGCAGAGCAUUUUGCCCCUUUGUUGGAACAAAUUUCUAAGUUAGAAGAAGCUCUUUACAAUAUACAGUUUGAGCAACACUGGCUGGAGGCACAGACUGACCGCCAAGCACUUGGUAUACUCCUCCAUCCUUUUUAAUAUUCGCAUAAUUUAAUUUGCUGCUGACAUAAACUUGUGAGGAGACAGCCUAGUCAUUUUCUCUGCCUGAGUUAUUUAUCGAGUACUUUGUUCCUCCAUCCUUCCUUUUCUGGCUUGUUAUGAUAUUGUUAAUAAUAACCAAAGAAAUUGUAUUUUUUGACACAUUUCUAAAUUCUCCAACAACUGCAUGGCUAUAUGGAAGUUCUUACUUUGGCAUGCUCAUCUAGAAGAGUGGUCCCAAUUUAAUUUUAAAAAGUAUUUAUCUAGAUGAUUUCCGUGGCUGACAGUAUAUUUUUGCGACAAAUCUAGCUCAAAUCCUUUUAACUAUAAUCAAGUCUUUAUCUUUUCUACGGCGUUAGCACAGAAGUGUAGCUAUAAAUAAAUAUGAGACUAACCUAGUUGUAAUGCAAUUGCAGUGAACGAAGGGAUGAGCAGGAGGGCAAUGCACAAGGCACUUCUUGAAUCAGCAGCACUCAUUGGAGUUAGUAUGCUCCAAAUUUUCCUCCUCCGUCGCCUUUUUGAGCGGAAGCUUGGCAUGUCAAGGGUUUAGGCCUCUCAUCACUGCAGAGUAUUGCUAACCUCUCAAAGAACAGAUACUUGAACUUUUGAGGACCUUCACCAUAUUUGUACUUCCAUUCUUUAAAUUUUGUAUUGUGUUUUUUAAAGUUGCGAUGAAAACCUUUCUUGAUGGAAAAUUUUUAAACUAUUAUGGCUUUUUGUGUAUUAAGUAGUUUAUAUAUAGCAGAUCACAUCCAACACCAAUAUGGGAUCCCCAAUGUUUAAUUUAGAUCUAAUUGAAUUUGAGCGAAGAUGUAUUCUAAUGUACCCAAGUUAAUCUCUAAAUAUGAGUAUGCUAGUAUCCAAUUGGUAUUCUAAUUUACUGUCGGUGAGAAAAAGUUACACCAUGCUUUUAAUCUAGACCAGCCUCCCAUCCUUCUGGCAGUCAUAUUGGAAAGCCCCCAAGGAUAUUGCCUUCUCCAGCUAACUCUAAAAAAUCCAUCUCUCCAGACAGCCACCACAACCCUGUCGCUUCUAUGCUAUUCCUCCCCACCUUCUCUCCCAUUUGUCACCAGUCCUAACAUUCUUCCCCACUCUCUCCCAUUUGUCACCAAACCUAACAUUCUUUGGCAUACCAUUACCCCUAAACUAGCGAAAAUCAAAAAUAAUUCAAGCAAUUUGAUAGCAAUUUUGGUUUCGCACACGAGCACGAAUCUAGCAUUAGAAUAAAAUACUAAAAUCUAGUAAGAAAUUCAAGUUCACAAAAAUGUCUUCGCUCUAAAUUAGCAUAGAAUAUAUUAGACACUUUGAGCUUAGACUCUGCAUUGAAGGAUGUAAUAUUUCUUCAACAAAAAAAAGGAUAUAAAAUUUGUCUGCAUGAGUAAUCAACCAUGGGUGAGGCAAACAUAGAAACAAUAGAAGGCAUCAUCGGUCAUUAGCAUUUUUAAAAUAGUUCAACGGCACCUGUUUAUAAAAUAUUACAUUGUUACAGCUUGCUUUCCUGACAUGCCAAGUGUCAUCCAUGGAUGUGUAAACAGCGAUUUUGCUGGCUAUCAGAGCUGCCUCACCAUUUUGCACACAUAACAACAGAAAAAAAAAAAUCAACGUUUCUCAUCCAGCAGGAACAAGUGCAGCAGAAACAUCACUCAAGCUUAUUUGUAUUGAUGAUUUCCAACAUAAUUGAUAACAGCAGAAACACCAGUAAAAUGAUCAAAUAACAAGAAUAGGGAAACUCAGAUUCUGAUUAUAUCUCCAGUAUACAUUCAUAUAACUACAUACACAACAAGGCGAUUCCUUGCUCUCCCAUCCUCAGCCUGUGUCACUACUCUCACACCACCUCACCUUGACCAAACUACUCCAAAGAAAAAUCAAACAGAACCUGCUUCCUGAGCUAAGGCUUUGAUCCUUCAGAAAAUAUUGCAAAACCAACACAACCUUGAACAAUCAAGACUCUGCUGAACUAGCUUGAAUGCAGCAAAACCAUUUUUUCUGCAGAAUCAGAGGAGCUGAUGAAAAUAACAGAUGACUAGGAUAAAGACACAAAAUAGAAAAGCUUGGAUGUUGCAUCCGAUCUUACGAUUGUCAGUAUUCACAGACAAUCAAAGAUCAAAUGGCUUAAAACUGAAUGCAUCAUCUAGAAUACAAAAAAAGAACUUACAGCAUUCACAUUUGGCUUGGUAGCAUAAGGUCCAUGUUUAAAGGCUGUCUCCUCCUUUCCAGGAGAGUCUGGCCCUCGUGUGCUGCCACCAGUCUUCCUCUCAUCUCUGGCCUUAUUGAAGAUCACAGUGAAUCCCUCUGCAGAAGCAGGGUCAUUAACAUCCCACUCACCAAACUUUGGUAACGGCCGGCCCUUGUCCUGCUGGAAUCCAAAACACUAUUAUCAGCAACAAUGGAGAUGUUUUUAGAGGUGUGACAAGUGAAAAAAUUAUUUACAUUCAGUUUCUUUUCCAUCAAUAGAUAGCAGUAUCAAGAUAGAAGAACCUAAAUACUAAAACAGGUAGAUUUAGUACCCAUAGACAGAGUGAUGUUCUCUUCUAAUAAUGCAGCAUGCAGCCAAUUUCUUUAAAACAGAAUACUAGGCAUUGUAGAUUCUGUUAUAAGCAGUUGCAUGAAGGCCUUGAAUCUUCUGUAUAUGUUUUUAAGAUUGGAUGGACCAUCUUAGUCCCUAUUUGUGAUUCUUCCCAAAUCCCCUAGCUAUUCAGCUGCAAAACUUGUUUCCCUGAUUGUUUCUAUCCUCUUGUUACAUGAAUAACUGUCAUUCUAUUUACUUUUGAGACCUGUAUUGAAAUUUCUUUGAAUUGAUUCUUCCCUCUAUAUACAAAAUGUGAAUAAGAAAAGAGACAUAACAAUCUUGAUUCCUUUUAGGUCUAUUAUCUAGAGACCCAUGAUGAUGUUAAGAACUGCUUUUGAAGCACCAUCUGCCUUUAGUCACUUGUUGGCUUUGCCCCGGGUAUUUCCCAUGCUUCCAGCCCCUUCGUUUUUUUAUUAUGAAUUUACUGAGGCACCUAUGAUUGAUAGAGUAACAUCCAAGGAUGAAGGACCUGGUCCAUUCUGACGGUACUAGACCAGAUAGAGAUUAGGCCCAGGACUCUCCAGACCAGAAUUGUUGUAUCCUGACACUUGCAAAGGUUUAGCAUCCUGGAACACUAUUUUUCACAAUUUAUUUUUGUUUUUUUUAUUUUUUCUCUUUGUUCUUGUGUUUAAUGGUCACUAUAAUCGGUCCUGGAACUGUGCUGAUCUGCUACCGGCAUCAAAACCCUUAGUAACAUCCUUAUAAGAAAACCACCAUUUGAUCCACUUCUCAUUCUCCAGAUUUUUCAACUGAGUGUAUCAUCCAAACAUGGCAUAUACGGCCUGAACUGUCAGAGUCUUCAAUUUCAAAAACCAAAAGAUAGUACUUCCAAAUAAUAUAGUCUUCUGAAGUUAUAAUCAUAUAAGUACCCAGAAGACUGCUGUUUGACUGCAUAACAUUAGAAAAAAGAAAUCAAUUUAUAUGACCAAGGUUAUCAAACAGCCUACUAUCUUCAUACAUCUAGGAAACUUAUGUGGCUAGUCAGACAUAAAUUUAUUUGAAAAUUUACCAUAUGUAGGAAAUACUAAACAUAAUAGAUGAUAACUAUGAACCACAAUACCUUUGGCCUUUUCAUUUUCUAAUCAUAUAAUAUAAUUUUAUUAGUCUCUCUAAAGGAUAGAUGGAGAAUAUAGAUUAGAUCAGGAAGGGAAGUACAUUGAGAGGGCCCAGGUUUUGUGGUCUCUUCUAAACAGCUAGAGUGUUAUUCUAAGAUCUUGACAAUGGCUGUCUAUAUGACUCAUCAAGUGAGGGGAAAAAUAAUCAAGUGUCCAUCUAACAUUUGUGCUAUCAAAGUUGUGACGUUGUACGUAUGGAUGGCCAUGACAGAGAGUAUUUUGCCUACAGUUUAGCAUCAUCUGAAACCAUCCAGGCGACUCAAUAAUAGACUUAUCAUAUAACCCUGACAUUACAUAAUAACCCAGGUAGCUAGGCAACUUGGAACAAAGUCAACCAACCAUCCUUUCCAUCUUAUAUAAUCAGAUUGGAUAUUGUACUGUAUUUAAUCCACUAAUGUUUUAUUAUGCUUUAAAUCAUAGGCAAUGAACAUUCCUUUUUACAUGCUAUGCAACAGCACAGAAUACUUUCAAGAUAUAAUGUAAUUUGAAAAAUCUAUGCUUAACUCAUAAAUAAAACAUAACAGAAGUGAUGACAUAUACAUUACUGUUUUAGGUCAAAUGUUAAACAAUACUUGGCUUGUUUGGUCAUCCAACUUGCUAGAGGUUUGAGCCUAUAAUUUUUCAACACAACUAUGGGGGAACACAGAGUGAGAUACAUUAAAUUGCAGCACAAAGGCAAAAGAGAUUGUGAAGUGACAAACACACACAGAUAUAUGUACAUCAGAGUAUAUGUCAUCUUAUAUGAUCUACAGCAUCCAAGAUGCCUACGAACCAAAAAUCAAAUGAUUCGAAGAAACAUGUAAGUCAAUGCAGAGACUACCAGUAAAGUUUGGCUGCCUAGAUGCCACCCACCCGGAGCUCAGCACCCAAAAAUAAGAGGUAAUAUGGUAAAAGAAAAGCAUGGAUACUGGGAGAAAGGCAAAAACCCAGGAGAUAGAUGGCUAUGGUGCUACAAAGAAAAAAUAUUUGUUUUGACAUCCUAUGCGAAUAUAACAGCAGAGGUCGCCCUAAAAGCAACACUUUGUGGAUAAGGAUUCACAAAACUGACUCCAAAUAGUUGGAACAAGGCCUCAUGAUUACAGUAACAUCUUAAACCAUAAAGAUACAUUCAGCCCAUAUAUCCACAUAUACACCUAAAAAUCUUGCCUAUAGCCAAUUGUUUCUCCUACCAAAUAAAAGUAUCUUGUUAAAUCAGAAUGCUUACAUAAGAUGCAUAUAAAGUUAGGCAGGAACUCUUAAAGAAUAUACAUUAACCAAAAAUAACAAAAAAAUAAAAUGAGAGAACCAUAUUAGCUUCAAAAAAGUAAAGCAGACACUGCAUAACUAGAUUUGCAAUAGGAUCAGUUGCAAAUGAUGCAAAUCCACUCAUAUGUGACACAAUGAAGCAGACAGCUGCUUAGGUACAUAAACGGUAACAAAUGCUCAAGCAAAAACUACUUAACUGGUCCAACACCAGGCAGCUAUUAAGUGGCCACUUGAGAAUUUAUAUGGCCAUUGUUAAGAGUACUCGUAUGACACCUUGUGUCUAACCAUAUCAGCUUAUAUUAUUUAACACUUGAAUGAAUAAGAGUCAACAUAAAAUACUAGUUUUUUCCUAACAAGAUACUCAGAAAAAAAGACUGCGAUGGCAGCUUACAUCUCUAGCUAAUGUAAGCAGGACACUCCAAUUUUAGGGUAUCCAAGAGGGUCAUGUUUGUAUCCAAGUGCCCAGGAAGUGCCGACACUCCAAAUUUCCUCGAAACUGAAGUGUUCAAGUGCUGUUGAGCAACAUGGUAGAUAUAAGAUUGUAAAGAACUUUGACAAAUAGUUAAUAUCUGCAGGAGAUGGUUUACCAACAUAAAUCAAGCUAAUGAUUUGUAAGUAAUUUGGAUAAAUAGCAAUCCUGUGUUAUCCUCAAAACAAAAUCAGAAAAUGACAAACACCUUAAAAAAAAGUCACAGAUAGAAAAGACUUACCUACAUACACUUCCAAUAAAAAAGAAGAAAGGUUUAGUCUGGUUUCCAAAAUUAGCAUAGACAGAAGAAUAUCCUAAUUGGAAGUUAAAAUAUCUGGCAUAAACAUUCUCUUAUUUGCAUCCCAGGUCUUGAGCUAGAACCAAGAUUGAUAACUUAAGGGUCAACUUCCUCAAAUUGUGCCUUGAUCUAUUUGCAAUAUAAUCAAAACUCCAUAUAGGAUAAUUCUGCAUGCCAUCAUAACCAAAAGGUAAAUUUGUGAAAAUGGCACAAUUUUUUAGGCUCAAACACAAUCAUGGACUUAAGUCAGCCAAAUUCAAAUGGUAAUACAUGUAAGUCAAUAAAAUUAGAAACCUUUACAAUGUUCAUGCUCUAGAACUAGGAUAAUUUAUAACUUCUAGUCACAAAUAAUGUUAGACUUGUUAAUCUCCUUCCAAUUUGUCUCCUCCUCA
Molecule: long non-coding RNA, 32103 nt
Filed under: Phoenix dactylifera (date palm)
Lineage: Eukaryota; Viridiplantae; Streptophyta; Magnoliopsida; Arecales; Arecaceae
Description: long non-coding RNA (PDAC_LNC005984)
Source: RNAcentral